Salvelinus sp. IW2-2015 is the source of this 222-nucleotide non-coding RNA. The record is from RefSeq and is a predicted model, not a curated record. NCBI's taxonomy places the organism in Eukaryota, Metazoa, Chordata, Actinopteri, Salmoniformes, Salmonidae.
UUUCUGCGGUCCAUGGAAUGAGUCCAACUGCCCAAGUAUGCUGGUCAAGAGGUGGUGUUCCAGUGCCUUGGUGAGGGAAUACUGGAAAACGCCUUUCAAGGAUACAAUGCCUGCAUUUUCGCCUACGGACAAACAGGGUCAGGGAAGUCCUUCUCCAUGAUGGGGAAUAAGAAGGCUCCAGGGCUGAUCCCAGGCUGUGCUGCUCCCUGUUUGAGAGGAUCG